Molecule: long non-coding RNA, 602 nt
Filed under: Callithrix jacchus (white-tufted-ear marmoset)
Lineage: Eukaryota; Metazoa; Chordata; Mammalia; Primates; Cebidae
Description: lncRNA (ENSCJAG00000067707.2)
Source: RNAcentral
AUGCAAACAUUCCCAGCCCCGUGCUUUUGUGCAGGCAUCUCGCUGUAUGCGCUGGGCACGGAGCGGCGCGCGCGCGCUCGCCUUUCCCUCGGCGGCCCCCCGCGGCUCGGACCCGGGACUGCAGACAGGCCAUCCAUCAUUCGCCCUCCUCCCGCGAGCUUGGCUGCCGCGGCCAAUCCGGCGGCAGGUGGGGCCGCACCUGCAGGACAGCCCGCCACUUCCCUCCGCUCUCUCCGCCGCGCCCGGCGUGUUAGCGAUGCCCUUGUGAGCCACUGCAUUCUCCAAGGCCAGAACGAGACAGUUGAGGAUGGUUGUACUUCUCCACGUUCUGAGACCAGUUUAAACAAAAACAAAAAACAGACAACAACCUUGCAAGGAAAGGAAUUCAGAGUAAAUAAACAGUCUUUUUCUGUGAAGUAAAAUAUUUCCCUAAGAUGGGGAAAUUGAGAUGAGCGCUCAUCCACAAGAUUACCCGUCAAUGAGCACCAAAAGCAACAAAAUCCACUAGUAAGACUGGGAGAUUUUACGUCAGGAAACUUACAUCAGUAUCAUCAUCCCAAGAAGCAGUAUCCAGGCUGUUUUGUCAAAAGUGUGCAUGGGAG